AUACUGAUGGCCACUAUUAGGAAGGGAACGUAAAGUAGCCAGGUCCACCUCUGUUUAGUUAGUUUAUAUAAGGCAGGUAUAAUACUUUAGAGAUUGUAAUUGUUACAGUGGAACUUCUUGGUUACUAGAGCACCAGGCAAAAUACUUGAUGGAUCUGGAUCUCUGAAGGCAAAGCAAUUCUGUUAAGAUAAAAUUGACUGAUAUAUAUGACUUAGAACUUCUUAAAAUUGUGUGUGUGAUAUGCAAAGAGCAUUGUUUUCUAUGCAGAUGGCCUUUCUGGACCAACUUUUGAAUAAUUUAUGGUACUUUUUCCUGUUUUGAAAGGAAAACUUUCCUACUUGCAUAGACCUGCUAAUGUGGAUGAUCCUUAGAUUUUGGCAUGAGUGGUUGUGAAUCAUAUUCAAAGAAAACCUGUUCUCUCAUAUUUCCUUAAGUAAAGUUGAUGGCUACUUUUGCAAGGCAGAGUUGAUGACUCUGAAACGAGGAGAGAAUUUAACCACUCAGUUUUCUGACAUGUCACUGGAUCCUACCCAGUAGUAUCAGAAGGAAGCUGAAAAUGGUGUUAGCUGCACUUAGGACAAACAAAAAUCAUUCCAGGUAAAAUAACCUUGUAAAGAAAAGUUAUAGUGUAUUAUAGAGGCCUUGGCUAGGUUCAUGAUGACAAAGGACCUUGUCUGAACAUAAUGAUUUCAAAACUUGAGCUUAAAUGACACUCUGAAAUCUAGUCAAUGUGCCUCAGUAGACUUUUCGUAGAACAUUAUUUUCAACAGAUAUUUUGACUUACUGUGGAACUUUGAAUACUUAGAAAUGUCAGGUGUAAAUUGGCAGUAUACAUUGCCAAUUCUUCAGACAUAUUUUUUUAAGUUUUCAUAAGAUAUUCUGAGCUCAUUAUUUUUCCCUUCUUUUUAAACAUGUAUGCUGUUGAAAGCAAAAAAGGAAACUCAUCCUUAAAUCCCAGAAGGUACACACACAUGCUGAGAUGGAAGCAAGGACAUGUCAAAGGGAGACGACCACCUCUUCGAUAAAACAUAGAAUGCCAGAAUUAGUGAUGUCCAGGAAAGAGGGGAACUCAUAUUUGUGGAACAUGUAUUAUAAAAUGCAGUGAGUAUGGGGUGAGAGGAUCUCUCCUGCUUAAUUGAGAUGAUGAAGGACCAAUAGGAGAGCAGUUUUUGAAAUCCAGUUCCAAGGAUAUAUUUGUUUUAGAUGUGAAUGUUGAUUAAUGACUUCAGGUGUUAAAUGCAGCAAGUCCAUCUAUGCCAAAAUGGCCAUUAUGAAUAGUUUGUGAGUGAUCAUGAAGAACGUGUGAUUUAGAGACUAGUACAGCAGAGUUUUAUACACUGAAACAGUAUUGUGGGAUACACGAAAAGAAUAUGGGAGAAGAUGGGAUAUGAGAAGUACAUGAUGAAAAGAAGAGAUUUAUAGAUAACCUGAGGACAACUGACAUCAGGAAUAUCCCUCAUGCUAUGGACUUCUUUAAUGUAAAAGUGUUAACUGGGAACAAUAGGAGGUGAUAGUUUCAUGAAAACACACUUCCGCCCUCCUGGUUUGUAAUUCCAAGAAUUGGUAUCAUCAGACCUCUCACUGGCAGUAUUCAUUCAACGUUUCUUCAUCUCUGAUCUCUGUUUCCACAAAUACCCCUUGGAGAAAUUACUGUGGUGACUAAACAGAAAAACUGAUGCUAUUGCUUCUGCCACCAUCUUCAAAUCCAAAAAACAGUCUUAAUAAUGUAUGGAGACUUCUGUUUCAUGUGUUGGAGUGGAUACUCCUCGCAGAUCAGAAAAAAAUGGACUGGGAAAACUCAAGUUUGAAAAUUACUAGAGUGUCAUUGGAGGGAAUUGUAACCAGGCAUGUUGACUGUUUUCAUAAUUGACAUUGGACUAAAUCUCAGGAGCUUGAAUGGUGGAGAUGUUAUUACCCAGAGAGGUUCAGUAUGAUCUUAAAUAGUACAAACAUUACAUUUCGGAGUUUUAAUCUUUGACAAUGUGGUGUUACAAAAAACUGCUUUUAUUCUCUUAAACUGUUCAGUUCAGUCAUCUUCAUAUAUCCUUAAAACUUAUUAGUCACUUAUUUUUUCAUUUUCCUCUGUUGUUUUUUUCAUUUCCCUCAGAAUAUUAGUGUUUUUGUAAUGGUUUCUAAGAUGAUUUAUGACUUAAGUAUGUUAGUAUGUUAACCAUUUGUCAUGCAUUGCAAAUUUCAUACUGUAUGUUCUCAUCACCAUUUUAUUGUGAUGUUUUGGUUGUACAAAAGUUGUGUUUUCAAAUAUAAUGCUCUGCUUUAUGCCUUUUGAGUUCUGUGUUUUUAUUCAGAUAUGUGUCCAUCACUCUCAUGCAUUCUUUGUAUUCUGUUUUUUGUCACUCUGUCAUUUCAUUUUUUCUGUUAAUUGUUACUGUGGUUUUAAACCAUUACCCAGUCAAAUUAUUUACCUUGAUUUAAGCAAUUAUCACUUAGCUAAAUGCUACCAUAGUUACUUAGAAAUUCCCACAUAGAAUCAUCUGCAUCUCUAUGUGUUUGCCUUACUGUCUUUUGAUACUUUAAAGUUACUGAUGAUUUUGUCUAUUCCAUUGAGAUCUAUCUCAUUUCUCUUUUUUUUUUCAGAAUAUUGUCUUUCUAUAGUCGCAUUUUUUUCUCUCAAUUGAUGCUUAAAAUUACUUUGCAAGUUGGAAAAAAAUGCAGUUUUAAUUUCAUUGCACCAAAUUUAAUAGAUUAGGAGAGAAUAGAUGUCUUUAAAAGUGAGUCUUCCUAUCAAUCUGCAAGUUUUAACUGAGGUGUUACCAGCUUAAGAACUGAGACAUUUUAGAUGCUUCAAUAUCUGACAUUUCUAUAUCAAUCCAAAUUCUUGUACUUAUUUCUCAUUUCUGUGGACUUCGUUCUUCAAAAGUACUGCAUGUUUCAUAAGCAAGGAUCAAAGAAACUGUCUACAGGUGUUGAACAUAUGUACAAGAGGACCAUCAAUACCUUCUGCAGUGGUACCAUGCACAGCAUCACCUAUUUCCUGUCAUUAUUUCCACUUUUGGAAGCUCAUUGCAUCUUUAUAUCUCAAAAGGCACAAGUUUUAUAUAUGUACCACCAGGAAUAGAAGUGAUCUUCUUUUUGGCAAGUAAUUGCCCAGAAUGUUAAGUACUUUUUUGUUCUCUGAAUAUAUCUUAUGCUUUCCUCUAUUGUUGUUUACCUCAUUGAUUUUUUUUCCCCCUCUAUGUUUUUCCAUUAGAAGCGGGAAUAAGAUUUAUGUGUGGUAUAUAUAAUUAAUGCAAUCCUAUGGACAUCUUGGUCACACUAAAGCAUUCUAAUCAGGCUUUGUCACAAGCCUGCCAUAGGCCAGUUUGGAUACUAUUUGUAAAAUACUUUAUUUCUCAUUUGAAUCAUGAGCCCACAGUUUUUAGAGAGGUCCCCAAAAUAGAUCCUUUUAAAACAUUUGUGUUACAUGCAAAUAGACCAUUUAUAGUUUGACUUCUUAUGGCACCUACUAGGUCUCCCUCUAGAACAGGAUCUGAGCCUGAUUAUAGUUGAUGUUUUCCUUAGCACCCUAAUUUAAGACUCAGAUGCUAUCACAAUUCCAGCUAUGUAAGGAAGAUCCAGACUGUAGAACACACAGUUCUAUCAUUUUAUUGCCAUCACUGGAACUGGACCAAAAAACCCAAGCCAUGAAGAUAUUUUACUUUCAUUCACAUUAUUCUGAUUUUCAUUUGUUUUCUGUUUAACCAAAAUGGGCUUAAUAUAAAUGGCUGUGUUUUUUGGAAGUUUUAACUGAGUUUUCUGGAGCAUAAACUACACUGUCAUCAGAGAACUACUAAGUGCAUUGCCCAGCCUGUCUCAAUAGACAAGUUUGACCCCUAGUACAUUGAAUCAGGGCCAUAAGGGAUGAAUUGGUUAUUAAACAAUUUAGAACAAAAUGUGGUCAUUCAUCCUCUUUCAUUCCUACUUCUUCUUUUUUUUGGAGUUUUUUUUAUUAAUUUAUUUAUUUUCAGCAUAACAGUAUUCAUUAUU
This is a long non-coding RNA of Mustela erminea (ermine), 3984 nucleotides long. RefSeq lists it as uncharacterized. The record is from RefSeq and is a predicted model, not a curated record. The transcript has 10 exons. Lineage: Eukaryota; Metazoa; Chordata; Mammalia; Carnivora; Mustelidae.